UGAUUCAAGAGGAGAUGUCAACGUGAUCUUGGCAACAAAUAGAAUUGAGAGUCUUGACCCAGCCUUGCUUCGUCCUGGCCGAAUAGAUAGGAAGAUUGAAUUCCCUCUUCCUGAUAUCAAAACAAGGAGGCGCAUCUUCCAGAUUCACACAUCCAGGAUGACGUUGGCUGAUGAUGUCAACUUAGAAGAAUUUGUUAUGACCAAGGAUGAGUUCUCUGGGUCUGAUAUAACGGCAAUAUGUACUGAAGCUGGUUUGCUUGCUUUUAGAGAGCGCCGUAUGAAGGUGACACAUAUAGACUUCAAGAAGGCAAAGGAAAAGGUGAUGUUCAAGAAGAAAGAAGGGGUUCCGGAAGGGCUC
Molecule: long non-coding RNA, 358 nt
Organism: Prunus dulcis (almond)
Lineage: Eukaryota; Viridiplantae; Streptophyta; Magnoliopsida; Rosales; Rosaceae
Exons: 3
Source: RefSeq, a predicted model, not a curated record